This 494-nucleotide ribosomal RNA is filed under the name uncultured bacterium. Its description in RNAcentral is "partial 16S ribosomal RNA". It matches the Rfam family "Bacterial small subunit ribosomal RNA", at positions 899 to 1397 of the family's 1533-position model. The record is from RNAcentral.
ACUCAAAUGAAUAGACGGGGACCCGCACAAGCGGUGGAUGAUGUGGUUUAAUUCGACGCAACGCGAAAAACCUUACCUACCCUUGACAUGUCUGGAAUUUUGCAGAGAUGCGAAAGUGCUCGAAAGAGAGCCAGAACACAGGUGCUGCAUGGCCGUCGUCAGCUCGUGUCGUGAGAUGUUGGGUUAAGUCCCGCAACGAGCGCAACCCUUGUCAUUAGUUGCUACGUAAGGGCACUCUAAUGAGACUGCCGGUGACAAACCGGAGGAAGGUGGGGAUGACGUCAGGUCAUCAUGGCCCUUAUGGGUAGGGCUACACACGUCAUACAAUGGCCGGUACAGAGGGCUGCCAACCCGCGAGGGGGAGCCAAUCCCAGAAAACCGGUCGUAGUCCGGAUCGCAGUCUGCAACUCGACUGCGUGAAGUCGGAAUCGCUAGUAAUCGCGGAUCAGCUUGCCGCGGUGAAUACGUUCCCGGGUCUUGCACACACCGCCCGU